CGGAGGGUGCAAGCGUUAUCCGGAUUCACUGGGGUUUAAAGGGUGCGUAGGCGGAUUAGAAAGUCCGUUGUGAAAUCUCUGAGCUUAACUCGGAAAUUGCGGUGGAUACUAUUAGUCUUGAAUACUGUGGAGGUUAGCGGAAUAUGUCAUGUAGCGGUGAAAUGCAUAGAUAUGACAUAGAACACCAAUUGCGAAGGCAGCUGGCUACACAGAUAUUGACGCUGAGGCACGAAAGCGAGGGGAUCAAACAGGAUUAGAUACCCUGGUAGUCCACGCCCUAAACGAUGAUUACUCGACAUUUGCGAUACACAGCAAGUGUCUGAGCGAAAGCAUUAAGUAAUCCACCUGGGAAGUACGACCGCAAGGUUG
Molecule: ribosomal RNA, 369 nt
Filed under: uncultured organism
Description: bacterial SSU rRNA
Rfam family: Bacterial small subunit ribosomal RNA
Source: RNAcentral